RNAcentral lists this long non-coding RNA (1789 nucleotides) under Triticum aestivum (bread wheat). RNAcentral describes it as "long non-coding RNA (TAES_LNC015475)". Lineage: Eukaryota; Viridiplantae; Streptophyta; Magnoliopsida; Poales; Poaceae. The record is from RNAcentral.
GAUGGUGUUUGACAUGUAUAACAAAAUAUGUAGCUGAACAUAUACAUGGAGGUACAUAUAUACCUGGUGUAUCAUAUGUGCUAUCACCAUCGGUCUGUUCAAGUAUCAUCCAUUCGGAGGGAGUAAUAUGGACUCCUACAAGUCACACGCUACAUUAGAUAAGGUUGUGCCCAAGUCUGUUAGGUAUGAUUUAUCACAUAAAAAGGAUAAAAUUAAGCUCUGCAUAUUUGCACAGCCUUAUACCUGGACUACGUGGGUAAAUUCUGUCAACAUCGUCGGCUACGGGUAUACUCCCUUCGUUGGAGGCGUCAACAUUUGUCCCCUCCAUCGGGCCUGCAAAACAUUCAGUCUCCUGGGAUGGUGUUUGACUUGUGUGGCACAAUUUAUAGGUGAACAUAUACCUGGAGGUACAUGUGAUGAGGUCGUCUGUUUCGUUGGCUUGCUGUGUGGAGUCCCCAUAUGGAACUAUUAAAAAAAAGACAUGUCCAACAGACUCAGGUAUCCCGCAAAUACUUGUAAACUGAUUUUGCAAGUAGAUCACGUGAAAUACCAACAGUACUAAAGGCCUGUUUCCAUUGUACAGAUUUAUGAGUUUUCCUAUACAUAUCGAAAUAGAAAGACAUGUCCAACAGACUUUGCUACCUUUCAAUUUUUUGUAAACUGACUAUGUUGGUUACAUGUUAAAAAUUCAAGAUGUUAAGAUGAACUGUUCAUAUGAUUGCAGCCAGAUGAAGGCCAUCGAAGAUCACAAGGGCAGCUUGCUAUUGUACAGGAAUUCAACACAUAAGGGCAGCUUGUUACAUUUACAGAAACUCAUGAUGUUGGCAAUGGUAAGGGGGCGAAAUCAUGAAGGCACGGUUGGGUUGCAAGGUGCUCAAACUCUCAUAUUGCGAUUUGCCUACAACUUUGUUUGUAGGUUUGUUUGUUUGGUUGUUUGUAGUUUGUUUCUGUGACCUGUACUAAAGCAAAUAGCAGCUAUUUGCAGUCCGACAUACAUGUGCAUAUACAAAACUCAGAGAAGUCAUGGUAAAAACUUGCUGUUAAGCGACGAUAUGGGUGUCAUAAAGAACUUGGAAUUGGUGGGUGAGCAUGGAAAUCUAAGCUAGUCUAGGUUUGGCUCUGCAGUGUGGUAUUGGGGGACUGUUUGAAUUAGACUUCAGAUUUUAGCACCGCUUUCCUCAGUGUUUCAGGGUAAACAUGCCAUAUGUUGAGCAUCAAAUAUCUUGCGCAUGUGGGUUGAUUUGGUUCGAUCUAGUCCGGCCUGAUUGGUUGAGACCAAGGCUUAUUCGACUGGUUUGAAGCAGUCCAGAGCGGAACAUAUGCAUGAUUUUUUGAAUUUAUUUGGUGGUUUGACCAGUUGAACUUCCUGUUUUUAAUGAUUAGAAUCAUUCACUGAACUUGACUACAGCUAUUCCCUUACCAUAUGAUGGUUACGCUUAUCAGUUUGGUACUUUUGUGGACCGGAUGAGGCCCUGAUUAUGAUUUUAGACUAACUGACGGUUGUAUAUGUUUCUUGUGCCCAAACUGCUUUUUUGGAUAGCAAAGAAUUUUUAGCCCCAGUUAUCACACCAUUUGAAGCUGUAUUAGCUUUUAGCAGGUACGUGCCAUUAUUGAACACGAGUCCAUCAGGAUCGCCCUGAUUUGUACACGAAGACCUUACAAACAAAACCUGAGUUCAUACAUGGGGUUGAAAUCGUACAGCAUACCUGGGGUUGAAACCACCCUGCGUCUGCAGCGGCGCCGAUGGGAGCUCCUACGUAUGUGGCAGCGAUCCAGAAACGUGGAUGCG